Molecule: long non-coding RNA, 344 nt
Organism: Oncorhynchus tshawytscha (Chinook salmon)
Lineage: Eukaryota; Metazoa; Chordata; Actinopteri; Salmoniformes; Salmonidae
Source: Ensembl
CUGAAACUAUUUAAAGCCAUGAGGUUAACAUAAUUUCAGAGGAAGUUUAGGGGGAGAUGACCACACCGAAAGCAAUGCCACAUCCUAACUCCCCGGUUGGGACAGUGUGUACUAACCAGGCCACAGCCGGAGAGGAACCAGAGGAACCUGCAGAAGACCAGCCUGAAGAGAUCCACUACGGUGACAGACUUCUCCAAACUACAGACCAAAGAGACCCCAGCUGCAGCCCAGGACAGGGUCCAGGGACAGGAGAGUGAGUACGCUGAAGUCAAUGUGACUGGGAGAGGGGCUCAGGAACCACCUCUUAACAACCUAGAUGGGCUUUAUGCACAAGUCAAUAAAAG